UACGUAGGGUGCAAGCGUUAAUCGGAAUUACUGGGCGUAAAGGGCGCGUAGGCGGCCUGUUAAGUCGAACGUGAAAUCCCCGGGCUCAACCCGGGAACUGCGUCCGAUACUGGCAGGCUUGAAUCCGGGAGAGGGAUGCGGAAUUCCAGGUGUAGCGGUGAAAUGCGUAGAUAUCUGGAGGAACACCGGUGGCGAAGGCGGUCUGCUGGGCAGUUGCUGACGCUGAUGCGCGACAGCGUGGGGAGCAAACAGG
Molecule: ribosomal RNA, 253 nt
Filed under: uncultured bacterium
Lineage: Bacteria
Description: partial 16S ribosomal RNA
Rfam family: Bacterial small subunit ribosomal RNA
Source: RNAcentral